Molecule: ribosomal RNA, 253 nt
Filed under: uncultured bacterium
Lineage: Bacteria
Description: partial 16S ribosomal RNA
Rfam family: Bacterial small subunit ribosomal RNA
Source: RNAcentral
UACGUAGGUGGCAAGCGUUGUCCGGAUUUACUGGGCGUAAAGGGCGCGUAGGCGGCGCAACAAGUCACUUGUGAAAUCUCCGGGCUUAACUCGGAGCGGCCAAGUGAUACUGUCGUGCUAGAGUGCGGAAGGGGCAACUGGAAUUCUCGGUGUAGCGGUGAAAUGCGUAGAUAUCGGGAGGAACACCAGUGGCGAAGGCGACUACCUGGCCUGUUCUUGACGCUGAGGCGCGAAAGCUAGGGGAGCAAACGGG